CCUUUGAAAUUUCAAAUUCCAGUUUGUGGACAAAGUCCUGCCUAUCUGAGAAUAUAGAUCUCCGACCACUGACCAAACUCCAUUCCAAGCAACUCCCUAGCUAUGCUUUCUCCCUAGCUCAGUUUCCUCCAUUUACUCCCUGGAUUUGCUGAGAUGACACCGAAGUGCUUUCACCACCGCAGCUGUGCACGUCAAAAUGGAUUUUUGCAUUUUCUGUCUUAAUCUAACAGCUUCCUUUCCAAGUCAGGGAUGGGGAAGAAGAUUCUGAUCGUCUGUAAUAAACCAGGUUUCUGGCUGUUUGCCUCAGAUCAAGUGGAUCGCCUGAACACCCUUCAGCACCUGAUGGACUCUGAGAGCUAUUCUCAACCAUGGGCUACUCUAUUCCACCUGGAAAGGAUCCCCGCGAUAGGACUGCAUGGACUGAGUGACUCUUUCGCUCAACUCACCCCCUCCUCCAUUGUGGACCUUUCAUUUGCCCAGGUCUGACUGUGACCUCAGAAGAUGGAGAGAGGCACUUUCAGACAUGCCAGUCAUAGUACCCAGAGCACCAACAGCAAGACAGUGUAAAAGGAGCAAAGCACCAGUCUGCACAAGGAGUUCCAGUUGGUGAGCUUAUUUAGAGACCUGAGACCACUUCUGGAUGCCAGCAAAGGAGACUGAAGUCCUCUGCUUGGUCAAAAACAGAUGCUGCUGUUGCAUUGCUAUAUAAGCUUCCCUGUACGACCCUGACCCCAGCUAUGAACUAGUGGAACCAGGACAGAAGAUUUGGGUGUCUCUGUUUACCCCCUGGCUGUGUAGCACAGUGGCUGUCAGGAAGUAUGCCAGAGUGUUACCAGUGUCAACUUCAGUGGCAUUUUUGGUGUGUUCUCAGACACUUGCCCACUAGAGACAGGGCUUGUGUUCCCAACUGAAUCCGUUUCAGUCACAACAGCUUUGACUGGAUGCAAAGAUUGAUACUAGUGAUCCAGACUCUGAACCUCCCAGAUUCCUUAUAACAGAAGGGUAACCAGUGCUUACUGGGUAUGGCUUUCUUCCCUCCCUCUACUGGCUGGACACACUGAGGUUGCAGGAAUCUUCCGUGAUGGUUUCCUGUAGGCUGGAGUUGGGUGGAGACUGGGGACUCAUUGUGCAAAGACUAAGGGAAACGGAACAGGCUCUGUACACUUGGUUCAGGUUCAGCCGAUCACUGGUAGCAAUGUUCGGAGCCCCAGAGGAGAAGAGAAGGUGGCUACCACCAUGUUGACUAGCACUGCUCUGAGCAGGUCAUUUGACACAGGUUCCCCUGUGUAGCUCACACAAUUUAAGUUUAAUUAGUGUCAUCAGUGGUGGGAGACAAGGUUCUUUGAGUAGAUGUGAUAUAUUUUAUUACAUCAACUAAGCCUAUGUCCUUAGUCUAACACAGCUACAACCAACAACCCUAAAUCAGUGGUAGGAAACUUUACAAGAAUGUGUCUAGUUUGCGUGAGGCACUACAGUCUAAGCAUGGGAGCUGGGUAGUCACCAAGAAAGUGGGCUGGUGUCAAGAUGCUGAAAUAUUUCCAAUACAAAUCUCCACCUCC
Long non-coding RNA from Alligator mississippiensis (American alligator), 1559 nucleotides. RefSeq lists it as uncharacterized. NCBI's taxonomy places the organism in Eukaryota, Metazoa, Chordata, Crocodylia, Alligatoridae. The transcript has 3 exons. The record is from RefSeq and is a predicted model, not a curated record.